Molecule: unclassified non-coding RNA, 268 nt
Filed under: Hevea brasiliensis (rubber tree)
Lineage: Eukaryota; Viridiplantae; Streptophyta; Magnoliopsida; Malpighiales; Euphorbiaceae
Source: RNAcentral
GCAAUCUUACCAGAUACAGCCACAAUUCUUGUUGCUGGAUUUGGAGUUGGUGGAACUAGUCUUCCAUUUUGGGAAAAUGUGUAUGGUUUUAGAAUGUCUUGUGUAGGGAAGGAACUUGUAAAAGAUGCUGCCAACACUCCCAUCGUUGAUAUUGUGGAUGUUAAUGAUUUAGUAACUAGUCCUGCAAUCCUCCAUGUAAGUACUACGUAAAUGAAUUUUUUAUUAUUGUGAAUGCAUUAUACUAUACUACCACAGCUUGGUGAAAAAU